Molecule: transfer RNA, 82 nt
Filed under: Chloroflexota bacterium
Lineage: Bacteria; Bacillati; Chloroflexota
Description: Chloroflexi bacterium (sediment metagenome) tRNA-Leu
Rfam family: tRNA
About the family: Transfer RNA (tRNA) molecules are approximately 80 nucleotides in length.
Source: RNAcentral
GGGGACAUGCUGGAACUGGCAGACAGGCAUGACUUAGGAUCAUGUGCCGCGAGGCGUGAGGGUUCGAUUCCCUCUGUCCCCA